This is a non-coding RNA of Camellia sinensis, 203 nucleotides long. The record is from RefSeq and is a predicted model, not a curated record. Lineage: Eukaryota; Viridiplantae; Streptophyta; Magnoliopsida; Ericales; Theaceae.
UAAAAAGAGUUUCAAUUAGACUGCCUUGGAACUAUUGCUCAGAGUGGUACUUCGAAAUUCUUGAAGGCUCUUAAGGAAAAUAAGGAUCUUGGAGCUGACAAUGGUUUAAUUGGUCAAUUUGGUGUUGGGUUCUAUUCAGCAUUUUUGGUUGCUGAAAAGGUGGUGGUCUGUACAAAGAGUCCAAGGUCAGACAAGCAACAUUU